This is a long non-coding RNA of Apodemus sylvaticus (European woodmouse), 2804 nucleotides long. RefSeq lists it as uncharacterized. The transcript has 4 exons. The record is from RefSeq and is a predicted model, not a curated record. Lineage: Eukaryota; Metazoa; Chordata; Mammalia; Rodentia; Muridae.
GGGUGGCUGUUGGAAGAGAUGGAGGGAAAAAGCACAGUCCCUUGCCUUGUCUGUCUUCUCGUGCGAGCUGGCCCUCUUUGCCAAUGAGUUACCUUCUUUGCCCGUUGUCUCAGCAGAACUCUUGGCUCGGAAGCUUCCAGGAGGCACUGGGUGCCCAUGGGUGCAACCACCCCAGUCCACUGGGUGCCCAUGGGUGCAACCACCCCAGUCCACUGGGUGCCCAUGGGUGCGACCACCCCAGCCCACUGGGGGCACCGGCUCGAGGCCACGAAGCAUCCUGUGUAAAGCAUCUGGGAAAACUCAGCUCAGAUCCAGGUUGUGGUCCCUGGAUAGGCCUUCUCCAUCCUUAGAUAAGGAUCCAGGUUGUGGUCCCUGGAUAGCCUUCUUCAUCCUUAGAUAAGGAUCCAGGUUGUGGUCCCUGGAUAGCCUUCUCCAUCCUUAGAUAAGGAUCCAGGUUGUGGUCCCUGGAUAGGCCUUCUCCAUCCUUAGAUAAGGAUCCAGGUUGUGGUCCCUGGAUAGCCUUCUCCAUCCUUAGAUAAGGAUCCAGGUUGUGGUCCCUGGAUAGGCCUUCUUCAUCCUUAGAUAAGGAUCCAGGUUGUGGUCCCUGGAUAGCCUUCUCCAUCCUUAGAUAAGGAUCCAGGUUGUGGUCCCUGGAUAGCCUUCUUCAUCCUUAGAUAAGGAUUCAGGUUGUGGUCCCUGGAUAGGCCUUCUUCAUCCUUAGAUAAGGAUCCAGGUUGUGGUCCCUGGAUAGGCCUUCUUCAUCCUUAGAUAAGGAUCCAGGUUGUGGUCCCUGGAUAGCCUUCUUCAUCCUUAGAUAAGGAUCCAGGUUGUGGUCCCUGGAUAGCCUUCUCCAUCCUUAGAUAAGGAUCCAGGUUGUGGUCCCUGGAUAGCCUUCUUCAUCCUUAGAUAAGGAUCCAGGUUGUGGUCCCUGGAUAGGCCUUCUUCAUCCUUAGAUAAGGAUCCAGGUUGUGGUCCCUGGAUAGCCUUCUCCAUCCUUAGAUAAGGAUCCAGGUUGUGGUCCCUGGAUAGCCUUCUUCAUCCUUAGAUAAGGAUCCAGGUUGUGGUCCCUGGAUAGGCCUUCUUCAUCCUUAGAUAAGGAUCCAGGUUGUGGUCCCUGGAUAGCCUUCUCCAUCCUUAGAUAAGGAUCCAGGUUGUGGUCCCUGGAUAGGCCUUCUUCAUCCUUAGAUAAGGAUCCAGGUUGUGGUCCCUGGAUAGCCUUCUCCAUCCUUAGAUAAGGAUCCAGGUUGUGGUCCCUGGAUAGCCUUCUCCAUCCUUAGAUAAGGAUCCAGGUUGUGGUCCCUGGAUAGGCCUUCUCCAUCCUUAGAUAAGGAUCCAGGUUGUGGUCCCUGGAUAGGCCUUCUCCAUCCUUAGAUAAGGAUCCAGGUUGUGGUCCCUGGAUAGGCCUUCUUCAUCCUUAGAUAAGCCUUUAUCUUUAAAAUGGUACCUCCUAGGGUUAAGUGAGAAGGUCUGUAAUGAAGGCUACUAGCCACUGUAGCUCUGUUAUGUCCUGUUCUAUCCUGGAAGAAGGUUGUACUGGAGAGUGCUGGUCUAUCCAGUCUGAGCACAGGAUGGGUAUGAUCAGAGCAGGCGCUAAGUGCUUCCUUCUCUUCCCUAAAUAAACUCACGACAAUCUGAUGACUAUUUCAGCAAUGAGAAACUUAAGGUACACAGUAAAGUCUUAAAAUGCAACAAAAGAUAUAGACUUGCAUUUAUUAUUCACUCUAUUAAAGCAUAUGAACUGGUUCAUUCAGCUCUGUGACAGUAUGUACAAACUGACACUGCUCCGUCUAGGUUUUCAUGGCCCCAAAAGGAAGUUCUGUACCUGGAACUCCCUAACUUUGGAGCCCCUAACUACAGAUAGCUUCCCUAGGGCACCCCUAAUGAUUUACCUGUUAUCGACAUGCAAGUGUGAAUUCACAGUAAAUGAAGUUUUACAACACAAGGGCUCCUAUGUCCCAGCUUCCUUCAACUCAGCACAGAUCCAGGGUUCAUUCUUGUAGCAGCCCGAGUCAGCACCCAUCACACACGAGACAGAGCAUGUCCACCAUCUGCAUUCUGUGGAUCAUUCAUCCACUGAAGACAUUUGGUGACUGAAUGGUUGCCUCAGUGAACACUGUUUUGUUUGAAGCGUUUUUUUAGUUUUCUUGUGUGUGCUGUUUUAAACAGAGCUGCCAGGGUGUGUAGCAUCCAUGUUACCAAGGAACCUGUAACUUCAGAGCCAGCUCAGAGCAGAUCUGACCUGAGGCAGUCUGUCUCCAGAUUCUGUGCUCUGCACCGAUGGCUGUGUAGCUGCUAUGACAGUCUCGACACCAUGGCUGCUCUCAGGACACUCGCUUCCUUUCCUCAGACCUGGUAUCACCACAGAGCCCGUGGUUUGGAGGUCCGCUGUCCUUCUUGCCUUUGUUACAUUACUGUGUGGCUUCCCUGAAUUGAGGAGGAAGAACAUGGGGACUAGACAGGCCCUGUUUUGUUUUCCUUUGUGCACUUGCAUCUAACAAGCUACGGAAGGAAAAGUGGCGCGCAGGCUUGUGUAACAGCCAUAGGCUCUGCCAGAGGCCUUGGGUUCCUUGUAAACUACCCAAAGAUGACCCCAGUAUAAGUCAGCAUCCUCUGUACUGAGCGGCCUUGUUUAAGACAAAUAUCUUGGAAAAAACAAUCAACUUCAUUUCGAAAAUAUAAACUAGAUGCUCCAGGAAGUACUCAAAUAAUAAAAGAACUAUGUCUGUAGAUUUUUACUGCUUCCUUAGGAAAGGGCUAUCAGACAGUUUCUAACCAUAUGAGCGGACCUCCAGUUUAUCAGUUUU